GACGAACGCUGGCGGCGUGCUUAACACAUGCAAGUCGAACGGAAAGGCCCUGCUCUUGUGGGGUGCUCGAGUGGCGAACGGGUGAGUAACACGUGAGUAACCUGCCCCUGACUUUGGGAUAACUUCAGGAAACUGGGGCUAAUACCGGAUAGGAGCUCCUGCUGCAUGGUGGGGGUUGGAAAGUUUCGGCGGUUGGGGAUGGACUGGCGGCUUAUCAGCUUGUUGGUGGGGUAGUGGCUUACCAAGGCUUUGACGGGUAGCCGGCAUGAGAGGGGUAACGGCCACAUGAGGACUGAGGUACGGCCCAGAAUCCUACGGGAGGCAGCAGUGGGGAAUAUUGCACAGUGGGGGGAAGCCUGAUGCAGCAACGCCGCGUGCGUGAUGACGGCCUUCGGGUUGUGAACCGCUUUCGCCUGUGACGAAGAGUGAGUGACGGUAAUGGGUAAAGAAGCACCGGCUAACUACGUG
Molecule: ribosomal RNA, 468 nt
Filed under: uncultured bacterium
Lineage: Bacteria
Description: partial 16S ribosomal RNA
Rfam family: Bacterial small subunit ribosomal RNA
Source: RNAcentral